GUGUGUUUGGUUCCACGUAAAACUGUGGAAAAAAAAAAAUUUUGGUAGAAAAAUAAUUUUACGUUGUUUGAUGUUUGGUUUGUAGGAAAAGAGAAAUAAUUUUUCAUUACGAUUGUUUGAUUGAAAGAAAAAAAAAAUAUAAAUAAAAAUUAUUAAAUAUUUUUUUAUUUUAUAUAUUUUAAUAUAAUUAUUAUCAUAUUACAUAUAUUAGUAUUAUAGUUUAUAUUUAUAAAUAAAAU
Molecule: long non-coding RNA, 239 nt
Filed under: Ananas comosus (pineapple)
Lineage: Eukaryota; Viridiplantae; Streptophyta; Magnoliopsida; Poales; Bromeliaceae
Description: long non-coding RNA (ACOM_LNC013386)
Source: RNAcentral